AUCAGGUAAGAAUACCCGCUGAACUUAAGCAUAUCAAUAAGCGGAGGAAAAGAAAAUAACAAUGAUUCCCUCAGUAACGGCGAGCGAAGAGGGAUAAGCUCAAAUUUUAAAUCUGUUGGGUUUCACCUAACAGAGUUGUAUUUUGAAGAAACGUUUUCUGCGCCCAGGAUUAGCCUAAAUCCUUUGGGAUAAGGUAUCAUGGAGGGUGAGAAUCCCGUUCAUGGUUAAUCUUAAGGAUGCUCUACGAUACGUUCUCCAAGAGUCGAGUUGUUUGGGAUUGCAGCUCAAAAUGGGAGGUAAAUUUCUCCUAAGGCUAAAUAUUGGCGAGAGACCGAUAGCGAACAAGUACCGUGAGGGAAAGAUGAAAAGAACUUUGAAAAGAGAGUUAAACAGUACGUGAAAUUGUUGAAAGGGAAACGAUUGAAGUCAGUCAUACCAACGGGAAAUCAACCUCUUGAGUUUGGUCUCGUGGGUUUCUAAGAGUUUAAAAGCCUUCGGAUUUGCGAGGAUGGGCUCUUCUGGUGUACUUUUUCGUACGGUUAGUCAACAUCGGUUUUGAAUGUCAUAAAAUGACUGGAGGAAUGUGGCUUCGAUCUCGUAUUGAAGUGUUAUAGCCUUUGGUAGAUGUGAUGUUCGAGACCGAGGAUUGCAACGGAUACCCUUCUGGGCUAUUCGUCUGAUCUCUGAAACGUUGCCUUGAUGUUGAAAGCUUGCUUAUGAUGUUAGGGUAUUACGGUCAAAAGGUUAGAACGGAUUAAAUUCGUUAAGGAUGUUGACGUAAUGACUUUAAACGACCCGUCUUGAAACACGGACCAAGGAGUCUAACAUGUGUGCGAGUGUU
This 841-nucleotide ribosomal RNA is filed under the name uncultured Glomeraceae. Its description in RNAcentral is "eukaryotic LSU rRNA". It matches the Rfam family "Eukaryotic large subunit ribosomal RNA", at positions 10 to 694 of the family's 3401-position model. The record is from RNAcentral. Lineage: Eukaryota; Fungi; Glomeromycota; Glomeromycetes; Glomerales; Glomeraceae.